Molecule: ribosomal RNA, 497 nt
Filed under: uncultured bacterium
Lineage: Bacteria
Description: partial 16S ribosomal RNA
Rfam family: Bacterial small subunit ribosomal RNA
Source: RNAcentral
GAUGAACGCUGGCGGCGUGCCUAAUACAUGCAAGUCGAGCGAACGGACGCGACGCUUGCUGCUCUGAUGUUAGCGGCGCGCGGGUGUGUCACAUGUGGAUACCCUACCUAUAAUACGGGGAUAACUUCGGAAAAGCGGCGAUUAUCCCAUAUGAUCUUUUGAACCGCGUGGUGCAAAGGAGAAAGACGGUGUUGCUGUCACUUCUAGCUGCAUACGGGCUGUAUGAGCUGGUUGGUAAGGUAACGGCUUACCAAGGGAACGAUGCAUAGCCGAGGUGACAGGGUGAUAGGCCACACGGGAAGGGAGACGCGGUCCAGACUCCUACGGGACGCAGCAGUAGGGAAUGGUACGCAAUGGGCGAAAGCCUGACGGAGCGACGCCGCGUGAGUGAUGAAGGUCUUCGGUUCGUAAAGAUGUGUUACGAGUGAAGAACAGCUGUGUAAGGAACCGUGCAGUUCGUGACGGUACUGAAUAAGAAAGCAACGGCUAACUACGUG